UGGGGAAUAUUGCACAAUGGGCGAAAGCCUGAUGCAGCGACGCCGCGUGAGGGAUGACGGCCUUCGGGUUGUAAACCUCUUUCAGCAGGGAAGAAGCGAAAGUGACGGUACCUGCAGAAGAAGCGCCGGCUAACUACGUGCCAGCAGCCGCGGUAAUACGUAGGGCGCAAGCGUUGUCCGGAAUUAUUGGGCGUAAAGAGCUCGUAGGCGGUUAGUCGCGUCUGCUGUGAAAACUCGAGGCUCAACCUCGGGCUUGCAGUGGGUACGGGCUGACUAGAGUGCGGUAGGGGUGACUGGAAUUCCUGGUGUAGCGGUGGAAUGCGCAGAUAUCAGGAGGAACACCGAUGGCGAAGGCAGGUCACUGGGCCGCAACUGACGCUGAGGAGCGAAAGCAUGGGGAGCGAACAGGAUUAGAUACCCUGGUAGUCCAUGCCGUAAACGUUGGGCACUAGGUGUGGGGUCCAUUCCACGGAUUCCGUGCCGCAGCAAACGCAUUAAGUGCCCCGCCUGGGGAGUACGGCCGCAAGGCUAAAACUCAAAGGAAUUGAC
Molecule: ribosomal RNA, 549 nt
Filed under: uncultured bacterium
Lineage: Bacteria
Description: partial 16S ribosomal RNA
Rfam family: Bacterial small subunit ribosomal RNA
Source: RNAcentral